Cinara cedri is the source of this 254-nucleotide non-coding RNA. Lineage: Eukaryota; Metazoa; Arthropoda; Insecta; Hemiptera; Aphididae. The record is from the annotation of a GenBank genome assembly.
UAUGGAUAGCUACAGUUUAUUAAUAACGUUUGUAUAAAACAUUUAAGUAAAUUUAAAAAAAAAAUUGUUUCAUAAUAAAAAUCUGAUUACUAAUUCUCGGUUAGAAAAAUUAAAAUAUUUUUCAAGUAGCUAUAAAUGUAAUAAUUGAAUUACUUAAAAUAAAUAGAUGUCUCAGGAAAUAUGAAGAAAUAGUUUUUAUGCAAACCUUUUUGAAAUCAAUGUAUUUUUUAUUUGUAUAUUAUGUUAGUAUGUGU